AUUGAACGCUGGCGGCAUGCCUUACACAUGCCAGUCGAACGGUAACAGGUUAAGCUGACGAGUGGCGAACGGGUGAGUAAUGUAUCGGGACGUGCCCAGUCGUGGGGGAUAACUGCUCGAAAGAGCAGCUAAUACCGCAUACGACCUGAGGGUGAAAGCGGGGGAUCGCAAGACCUCGCGCGAUUGGAGCGGCCGAUAUCAGAUUAGGUAGUUGGUGAGGUAAAGGCUCACCAAGCCGACGAUCUGUAGCUGGUCUGAGAGGACGACCAGCCACACUGGGACUGAGACACGGCCCAGACUCCUACGGGAGGCAGCAGUGGGGAAUUUUGGACAAUGGGCGCAAGCCUGAUCCAGCCAUGCCGCGUGCGGGAAGAAGGCCUUCGGGUUGUAAACCGCUUUUGUCAGGGAAGAAAAGGUUCUGGCUAAUACCUGGGACUCAUGACGGUACCUGAAGAAUAAGCACCGGCUAACUACGUG
Molecule: ribosomal RNA, 477 nt
Filed under: uncultured bacterium
Lineage: Bacteria
Description: partial 16S ribosomal RNA
Rfam family: Bacterial small subunit ribosomal RNA
Source: RNAcentral